CUACGGGUUGCUGCAGUGGGGAAUAUUGCACAAUGGGGGAAACCCUGAUGCAGCGAUGCCGCGUGAACGAAGAAGGCUUUCGAGUCGUAAAGUUCUGUUCUUAGGGAAGAAAAUGACGGUACCUAAGGAGAAAGCACCGGCUAAAUACGUGUCAGCAGCCGCGGUAAUACGUAUGGUGCAAGCGUUGUCCGGAAUUACUGGGCGUAAAGAGUUCGUAGGCGGUCAAAUAAGUCAGAAGUGAAAGGCUACGGCUCAACCGUAGUAAGCUUUUGAAACUGUUUGACUUGAGUACUGGAGAGGAAAGUGGAAUUCCUAGUGUAGCGGUGAAAUGCGUAGAUAUUAGGAGGAACACCAGUGGCGAAGGCGGCUUUCUGGACAGUAACUGACGCUGAGGAACGAAAGCGUGGGGAGCAAACAGGAUUAGAUACCCGCGUAGUC
RNAcentral lists this ribosomal RNA (438 nucleotides) under uncultured bacterium. Its description in RNAcentral is "partial 16S ribosomal RNA". It matches the Rfam family "Bacterial small subunit ribosomal RNA", at positions 339 to 795 of the family's 1533-position model. The record is from RNAcentral.